RNAcentral lists this ribosomal RNA (468 nucleotides) under uncultured bacterium. Its description in RNAcentral is "partial 16S ribosomal RNA". It matches the Rfam family "Bacterial small subunit ribosomal RNA", at positions 28 to 507 of the family's 1533-position model. The record is from RNAcentral.
GACGAACGCUGGCGGCGUGCUUAACACAUGCAAGUCGAACGGAAAGGCCCUGCUUUUGUGGGGUGCUCGAGUGGCGAACGGGUGAGUAACACGUGAGUAACCUGCCCUUGACUUUGGGAUAACUUCAGGAAACUGGGGCUAAUACCGUAUAGGAGCUCCUGCUGCAUGGUGGGGGUUGGAAAGUUUCGGCGGUUGGGGAUGGACUCGCGGCUUAUCAGCUUGUUGGGGGGGUAGUGGCUUACCAAGGCUUUGACGGGUAGCCGGCCUGAGAGGGUGACCGGCCACAUUGGGACUGAGAUGCGGCCCAGACUCCUACGGGAGGCAGCAGUGGGGAAUAUUGCACAAUGGGCGGAAGCCUGAUGCAGCAACGCCGCGUGCGGGAUAACGGCCUUCGGGUUGUAAACCGCUUUCGCCUGUGACGAAGCGUGAGUGACGGUACUGGGUAAAGAAGCACCGGCUAACUACGUG